CCUACGGGAGGCAGCAGUGGGGAAUAUUGCACAAUGGGGGAAACCCUGAUGCAGCGACGCCGCGUGUGUGAAGAAGUAUUUCGGUAUGUAAAGCUCUAUCAGCAGGGAAGAAAAUGACGGUACCUGUUUAAGAAGCCCCGGCUAACUACGUGCCAGCAGCCGCGGUAAUACGUAGGGGGCAAGCGUUAUCCGGAUUUACUGGGUGUAAAGGGAGCGUAGACGGCAGCACAAGUCUGGAGUGAAAUGCCGGGGCUUAACCCCGGAACUGCUUUGGAAACUGUGCAGCUAGAGUGCAGUAGAGGGAAGUGGAAUUCCUAGUGUAGCGGUGAAAUGCGUAGAGAUUAGGAGGAACACCAGUGGCGAAGGCGGCUUACUGGACUGUAACUGACGUUGAGGCUCGAAAGCGUGGGGAGCAAACAGGGUUAGAUACCCGGGUAGUC
RNAcentral lists this ribosomal RNA (440 nucleotides) under uncultured bacterium. RNAcentral describes it as "partial 16S ribosomal RNA". It matches the Rfam family "Bacterial small subunit ribosomal RNA", at positions 338 to 795 of the family's 1533-position model. The record is from RNAcentral.